AGGGUGGUUGCAAGUCCUGAAGGUAGUCAUAAUAAAGGGCACGGGGCAGAGUUUUAAUAAAACUGGAAGAAUUUGUGAGCUGGUGAUCGUCACGCUUUUCACGUUUUACCUGUGAGCCUGCUUGGAACGAAUCAUAGAUCAGCUGGCGACAGAAACACCGCUGGGCGAGCACACAAUAGGAAGAUUUGUGCAUCCGUGCAAAUGACGGCUCGUUGGAUUUGAAGGUAACAGCUGAGUGAGAUCUACAGAAACUAUUUUGCGAGAGACUUAGGUAAGUGGGUAAAUUUAUUUGCAUAUAGGUUUUAAAAAGUUUUUCUUCUGGACAUUCUGAAGGCUCCCAACAGAGGUGAUGAGCAAUGCUUGUUUGGGCAUGGAUUUAUUAGGCGUUUGAAUUUUCACAUAUGGGCUUUGGGUUAUGACAUUGUGUUUGUAAGAUCUCACAGGACCCUUACGGUCAACAUUGCAGGAAACAACCUCCAUUGGCAAUAGCAUCUCAUGGAAAUUACUGGACAACAUCACAAUUUGAACUGUUUACUCU
Lethenteron reissneri (Far Eastern brook lamprey) is the source of this 538-nucleotide long non-coding RNA. RefSeq lists it as uncharacterized. Lineage: Eukaryota; Metazoa; Chordata; Hyperoartia; Petromyzontiformes; Petromyzontidae. The record is from RefSeq and is a predicted model, not a curated record.